This is a non-coding RNA of Microcebus murinus (gray mouse lemur), 118 nucleotides long. NCBI's taxonomy places the organism in Eukaryota, Metazoa, Chordata, Mammalia, Primates, Cheirogaleidae. The record is from RefSeq and is a predicted model, not a curated record.
UGGGAGUCUCAUUGCCUUGGGGACAAGUACCGAACUUUCAGUAACACCUCCACCCCUGCAUACAGUUUGAGUAAUCAGCAGAAUAUGAUAGCUGUUAGCUCAUUCCCUGACACAUAGU